Podarcis lilfordi (Lilford's wall lizard) is the source of this 2578-nucleotide non-coding RNA. NCBI's taxonomy places the organism in Eukaryota, Metazoa, Chordata, Lepidosauria, Squamata, Lacertidae. The record is from the annotation of a GenBank genome assembly.
CACUGGGAGACCAACGGUCGGGGUCUUUCUCCUGCUGCUCUACCUGGGGCUCCGGGCAGCUGAAGGGGAGAUUGGGUAGCCCCUGUCAGGUAUGUUUUUAUGUUAUGUUUUGUAUGCCUGCUGUUUAUUUGUUAAUAAAACUGUUUUGGUUCCCCUUCCACCUCCUCAUUCCUUUUGUCCUGAUAUCCUUGGAAAGAACUGCUGUAUUUGGCAACACGGGGUUACAUUUCACGGAUAGCACCUAAAGCCAAAAAUCACAUAUAGUCAAAACUUCAAUGGUUCAAGGGUGGGUGGGAUUGCCAAAGCUCCCGCGCCAAUGCCCAUCCCGUUUUCUUUUCUUUUUAAAAUUGCCAAGCACGUAAAUGCGUGUAAGUUGCAAGUUCCCUGUACACAGGAGUCCGCUCACACAAAACACAAUGCAGCCCAUGUUUCACUGUCCUUGUCCUCUGUUUGCACUGCUAUACAAGCCUUCCUAUCAAAACAGAAGGAUUUCAUAGCUGCUAUGAAAGCACAGCAAUAUUGCCAGGCAUUGUGCUCUGAUAGGGUAAUAAAACCUGUCAACCAUUCAGAAUUAAGGCGUUCAUAUACUGUAUGAUUACUGCGAAAUAAAAUCACAGCGAUGAUGCAAAUCAGAAGCCUGCCACCAAUCAAAAUGGAAAAUAUAAGUGAGAAAAAAUUGUCUAUUUAUGCAUCACUAGCUGUAUAGUAUCCCUGAGCUCCAGUUAUUAUUUGGUUUGUUAUCUGUAUUACAGUAGUGCCCAGAGGCCACACACAGUUGAUAUAACACAAAACAUAAUUGUUUUAGCUUGGAAUCAAUUAUUAAUCUUGACACCUGCAUUUUAGGUAAAUAACAAUUAGAACCUGAUGAGUUUUUUAAUUACUAUUUCAAACUCUACAUCAGCAGCAAAAUGAAAAAUAUUAAGAGAGACAAUGGUGAAAUUAACCAGCUACAAAGCUGUAAUAGUAAAAGGUAAAGGUAAAGAACCCCUGGACGGUUAAGUCCAGUCAAAGGCAACUAUGGGGUGUGGCACUCAUCUAGCUUUCGUGUUUGUUCGGAGACAGCUUUUCCGGGUCAUGUGUCCAGCACGACUAAACCGCUUCUGGUACAAUGUGCCAGAGCGCAUGAAAAUGCCGUUUACCUUCCUGCUGCAGCGGUACCUAUUUAUCUACUUGCACUGGUGUGCUUUUGAACUGCUAGGUUGGCAGGAGCUGGGACAGAACAAGAGGAGCUUACCCCGUCACGCAGAUUCGAACCGCCAACCUUCUGAUCGGCAAGCCCAAGAGACUCCGUGGUUUAGACCACAGCGUCCCUAAAAAUGAAAAAUAUUAAGAGAGGCAAUAGUGAAAUUAACCAGCUACAAAGCUAUAAUAGUAAUGCUAGCUACUUAAAGUGAAUGUGUGUGUGUUGGUUUGUUUGUUUUAAAAUACCCAACUUACACAGUCAUUAAGGAAUGAAGGCAUGCACAUUACGGUAAUUAGGUUGCAAUUUUUCUUUCUAGUUUAAUUGCAUAGUAAAAUGUGCUCACCGGUCUUACACUUUCAAAAUAACAAUCAAUACUGAAAGGACAUAUUCUCCGUGCUUUGGAAAUCUCACCUGUGUGUAGAGAGCCAUGAAAAUAAAGGUAGAAAUCUCAUCUCUUACAGAACCAAGCAAAAUUAUCCAAGAAUUGGUGUCCCUUCUCUAUGACCUGGAUCACACCAUGUGUGAAUGUAAAACUGUGGUUACAUCUCUUCUCUCUUGGUCCUCCUGCUACCAUGCUAUCUGGAGCUAAGCCAUCAUUUCUGGAGCUAAGCCAACAAACAAACAACCCAGUGACUAAGGUAAGACACUGAAAACAUUUAUAAAAUUAUGAAUGGCUUAAUGGAAGGAAAUACGCUCUGGCUCACAAUGCUAGAAACCGAGAAAUCUGAAGAAACUGAUAGGCAGUUUAAUUUCACAUUUCCUCCAAGGUGUCCAACCUGACUGUAUGCAACCUGACUGCGGCGGGAAGGUAAACGGUGUUUCCAUGCGCUCUGGCACAUUGCACCAGAAACGGUUUAGUGGUGCUGGACAUAGGACCUGGAAAAGCUGUUUCUGGACAAACAUGGACCACUUAUAAACGCCAUCUCCAACUCCUCGAAAGAUUCCAUCAUUGGUGUAAAAAAUUACACAUCACUUGGGAAGACUAAUGCCAGUGUACUGGAAGAAGCAAAGAUCACGAGUGUCAAUGCGAUGAUUCUUCAACAUAUGAACUUCAUUGGACUGGUCAUGUUGUGCAGAUGCCCGAUUCUCAUCUUCCAAAGCAACUACUCUAUUCCGAACUUAAAAAUGGAAAGCGUAAUGCUGGUGGUCAACAAAAAUGGUUUAAAGACUCUCUCAAGGCAAAUCUAAAAAAAAUAAAUGCAGUAUAAACACUGACAACUGGGAAACACUGGCCUGCGAGCGCUCCAGUUGGAGAACAGCCUAUACCAACGGUGUCAUGGCCUUUGAAGACUCUUGAACUCAGGACAAAAGGGAGAAACGUGCUAAGAGGAAGGCACGCUUGGCAAAUCCAUACCGUGAACUCCUGCCUGGAAACCAAUGUCCCCACUGUGGAAG